GGAUAAGAAGGUAGUGAAAAAAUAAAUCAAGGUGGGAGAUCUAGUUAUCAAAAAGAGAAAAAACUGGGAGAACCUCGGGAAGUUACAAGAAACUUGGGAAGGGCCUUAUGUUGUCACUUGAAGCAAUAGGCCAGGAUCCUUUUAUCUUGCAAAUCAGCUUGGAGCAGAGUUGCCACACUCUUGGAAUGUGGACAACUUAUGCAAAUAUUAUCCAUAGUCGCUACACUUACAAAAGCUUUCGACUUGUGAAUCUAUAAACAAUGUCGAGGGCACAAAAUUUACUUUAUCGUAUUUACUUUUCUGCAAACAGACCAUACUCUUUUCCUUGCUAGGGAUGCUCCACACUGGAGGCAAGGUUUUUAAUGAGGAGGAUCCUUGUAAAUCCUUCACAUUCUA
RNAcentral lists this long non-coding RNA (396 nucleotides) under Setaria viridis. RNAcentral's name for it is "long non-coding RNA (SVIR_LNC010425)". The record is from RNAcentral. Lineage: Eukaryota; Viridiplantae; Streptophyta; Magnoliopsida; Poales; Poaceae.